RNAcentral lists this long non-coding RNA (10520 nucleotides) under Eucalyptus grandis. Its description in RNAcentral is "long non-coding RNA (EGRA_LNC004014)". Lineage: Eukaryota; Viridiplantae; Streptophyta; Magnoliopsida; Myrtales; Myrtaceae. The record is from RNAcentral.
UGGGAUUUAAUACCUCUAUAAAUCCACAAAUGUUCUUGCAAAGAUUAAGCGAAAAAAUGCAGCAAGCUCAGUGUUGAGGACAGCGGAAACCAAAUAACAGGAAAAAAAGAAGAAGAAGGAAAAACCAAUGUCCAAUUUCCAUUUGUGCAGAGCAAUUCCAAACAUCCGACAUGCUUUAACUUCAGAAAUCAGACUGGCGAGUUUGACACCGAAUGACUAAACUCAAAAUGACAAUUAACCGAAAGAGGGCAUAAACAAAGCACAAUUUAGUAUCCCAAGACCCGCACACCGACCUCAUCAGUUGCAAAAGAACAACUGAAAAAGGGUCAUCAUCCACCGCACGCAACAAGAACAAAUCACGGGUAUCGGGCAAGAACAUGCCAAAUUAACAUAAAGACUCCACAGCAUCACGACCAUGUCCGACCAUCGACGAGAAACAGAGAGCACAACGAGAGAGGCAGAACCGGGAAUUCGAGCCCUCACAUCGCAGCAAACGAGGCCACCCAUUCAAGAAACGUGGUCCCGAACCCCAGGCUGCCCAGCUUGAUCGCGUGGCCCGCCAGCUUCCUCGCGGCGGCGCCGAGCUCCUUCAGAUCGGACCCGAUCUGGUCGCUGGCUUCCCGGUCCGUCCGCAUUCUCAAGUACCCGCGCUUGCCCAUGUCCCUCCCGAAGCUCGCGCUUUUCGCCGCUAUCGUCGAAAUCUAGCGGCGACCCACGAUUCCAAGAUGGAAGAACAGGUCGGAGAAGCGAAGGAGAUGGAUAUUUUUUCUUGGGGUUGUCGGCAUCGAUAUCCGGUUCUUGAUUUGCAGAGCCGGGGCCGGGGAGUGAGAGACAGCGAAGCGGUGGGGAAGAGUACUGGGGAAGAUUAUCGAAUGCGGGGUGCCACGUGGACCCACUUGGUUCAAUCUAAAAUGGAAUAUUUUCUCGAUUGUUUGGAUCCUGUCCUUUUUCUUUCUUUAUUUUUUUGGUCGAAAGGGUUUUGUCCUUCUCUUCUCGAGAACUUCUUUCUCUUUAUCGAAAAAAAAGAUACCAUCCUUUACUCAAUAGAUACCGUGGAUAAUUUUGUAUAUAUAAAUGUAAAGAAUAAAUAUACUUGAAAUUUUAAAAUUUAUCAUGAAAAUAUAAUUAAAUUUUAUAAAAAAAUAUAAUUAAGUUUUAAAAUUAAUUAAAUUUGUGCAACCAAGUCUAUCUAAUUUUUUUUGUCGUAAGGUUCAUUUAAUUGAUGAGGUUAAAAUAUGAAGUAUAAAGCUAAAAUAAUGUUGUUAUGAUCUAGAUAUUUUAUUAAAUUAUAUUAAAAAUAAAUUAAAUUUUUAAAAAAGAAAGAAAAAGGAAGUAAGGCACAUGGUGGGGCGGCAACGUAGAGAGCUGGUUUUCCCCUUUUCUUUUUUGAGUUGAUAUUUUUCUAAUGUAUUUAAAAAAAUUAUAUUAAAAUCAAAUUUGGACAAAAGUCAUGUUGUUUUAGUCGCAUCAAUGUCAUGUAAGAGAAAACAAAUUUUAAAAAAUUAUAUUAACAUUUUCCAUUAAUCAAGUCAAACAAAAUUAAAAGAAUGAUUUAAUUACAUCAAUUUAGCCAGUUUUAGAACUUAUAUAUAUUUUUUAACUUUUAAGAUUUAAUUGCACAAAAUUUUGACAAUUUAUAAAUGGCUACAAUCUAAAAUUGAAGUCAUAAAAGAAUUUUUUUUUUCCUUCUACAAGUUGGAACGGAAAUAAAGAGGUUUUCUUUUUGGGCAAAAAAUAAAGAGGUUCAAAUGAGCAAACCAAAGUCUACUUGAUAAAUUGGGAUGGAAUAUUGUACUCAAUAAAUCUGCAACAUGAAAUUAAAGCAAAUAGAAGUGUAUUGUAAUCGAAAAGUCUUCAAAUUUUUCUUGAAUCAUAGGCAUUUUAACUUCAUGCCAAGGAAUUUCAUGCGGAUGGACAGUUUAGGCCCGUGUCAAGGAGACUUCCGUUUGACUUUGAAUUUAAAACAGCUUCAUUUCGUAUCAAGAAAUUUCCUGAUAAGGACUGUGAUUGAGCAUGGUCUAAAUUGGACUAGUACUUAACUGAAGAACCAAUCAACACAGUGUUUUGGGACCAAGGACCAGACUGGUCCAUUUCCAAGAUUAACUCGAGACCAAUCGAUUAUUUUUUUGUUCAAAUUUUUGUGUUAAUUAAAAAGACAAAUAUAAUCUUUCAAAUUAUAUAUCCAUCAACAAUGUAACAUUGAAUAUGGGUACAUAUCAAAUAUAAAUAUAAGAUAAGAUAACAAUAGAAAUCUCUUGUUGCUAAAAGCAACAAACCAUAAAAAAAAUGAACACGUGAAAUACAAUUAAAUUAUAAAAGGAAAUCGAGGCCAGCAAAGAGAGGUGAGCGGCAAGCAUGGCCGCAGCAUAGGAAUAGAGAGAGGUGAGCAAAUAGGGUUUUAUUUAUUUUUUAUCGAAUCAAGGUUACGUUUCUACUUUCUAAUUACACAACAAAACUGCAUAAGAAAGAACAAAGGGAAAGGUGCUUAUAAUAUAUAUUACAUAAUUAUAAUAUAUACAUAUAUAAAAGGUUGGUCUGGGUUAGACCAACCCUAAAGUCUCAAAACUGAGGGCCAACCCGCAUAAUGUAAGAUCAAGGGUUUUUAGGAUAAAAAAUCAGCCUAGUGUCUUUGGGAACUGAAUUAGGACUAACCGGGUUGGGCUGGUCCAAGAUUAGUCCACGGUUAAUCCUGGACUGAUGCUUAUUCUUGAUGAGGACAGCUCUAGCUUAUGUCGAGGAGAUUUUCAUUUGACUUUGACUUUUAGAGACGUUUAAUUUGGUGCCAAGGAAUUUUGCGGUGGGGACAGCUUAGAUUCGUACCAAAGAGUAUUAAUUUAAGGACACUUUUGCUUUUACAUGAAUUAGUUAGUUUAGGCCUUAUAUAGGAGGGCUUUAUAUUUUAAUGAAGUAGGUAAUUUAGUCUUAUCAGAUCUAAGAGCAUUUCAACUUACAAUAAAAUAUAUAUAGUUUGUCAUAUCAAGAAGUACCGAUUUUGACAAUCAUAAUAACCAAUACCACAUCGCUUCUUAUUUUAUAAUCAUGCAUAAUAUAAACAAAGACUUUUCUAGGUAAGUUUGUUAGGCACUUUAGAAUACUCUUUUCUAAAUCUGUCGGAUCAUGGUCAAUCAAUAGGUCUGUGGAUAUAUUAUUUCAUAUGAUAAACCGCCAUCUCAUGGUACCAUCGCGGCACCUCUGAUAAUUGUAUAGCUGACAGUAGGAGAAGCUUUAGGGCUGCUACUCCUAAAAGGGACUAUGCCUAAGUAGCUGAAGCGGCCAAGUUGCAUAGUUCUAUUCGACAAAAAAAAGUUGCAUAACUUGCUUUUGUUCAGUAAGUGUCAAGUUUAUGUUGAUGAGGAAGGAGCCUUUGCGUAGUCUUGAGAGUAGUCCUUUUUGAGCUCGCUCUUGGUCUCCAGCUUCCCACGGGUGACUUCUUUGUCUAUGGAUGGCCGAAUUUCCUAAAAAGAUCCCAAAUUCUAGUUCACUUUGAAUAAUAAUCUGAACUUUUUGUUGUCUCGGAAAGUCGAGAACUUUCAUUUUAUACCCUAAUCUAACCUCAUUAACUUUCCAUCUAACGUUACAAUUAAAGGUUGACGUGGCAAUUCCACAUGUGCUAGGAGCAGCAACAGAAGCUUGAUAAUACUUUCAAGAAAAAGAGAAAGUUCGAGCCCAUUAACAUAUUCAGUUAGACCUAUCUCAAUUAAAAAGUUUAAGUUAAUGAGUUAUAGAUCAAAUAAGAUAUAUUAACUACUUUAGCGCAAGAGAGAUUGCCAAGAAGUUCGAGCUUGUCAAUAGAUUCAUUAGAUCCAUCUUCACUCAAAAUUUAAUUAAAAAAUUUGUGAUUUAACUUAGAUAUAUUAGCAACUUCACAUCUGAAUAUCAAACUUUUUCUAAUACAACUCACACGUGCAUUUCAACAUGUACAAUUCAUUUAACUCUUAUUUUAUUUUUAUUUAUCCUUGUUCAAGACUGAUUGGAUCUCCUCCUUCCUAGUAGGCUUCGGCUGGAAGCUUGACCAUACCAUCAUGAACGUCCCCAAGCUUAGCCCAAUGAUCUUGUAUGUGAAUCGGUUCGCCGGCCUCCAUGAAUUGGUCUAGUUCACCAUGGACGACGGCCGGACCAAUGAGAGAAGGCUGAACUCAAUCGUGUUGUGAACAGUGACAAGAUGGUUCUCCGGCAAUGAAAGAGCUGGCAUUGUGAACAAAGAGGGAAAGCCAAAUCCCCAGCCCAAACAUGAUUUGUCACUAUAUCUCUCCUUAAAGUCACGUUGCUCGCGACAAUUGCCUGUGGCGUCAUUGGCCAUGGGCGACCUCAGACUGGGCGUAGUGUCGUCGGAUCCGACGUCUGAAGCUUGGAUCUAGCUCCUGACCCAAAGAGAGAGAGGAUCCGGUACAAGCUUGUGGAGGAUGAGGGCUAUGUUUGGUUAAGCAUUUCCAAUGGGCUUUAGGUACUUGACCAUUUGGUUCAACUUUAAAGCUGGCUUUCAGCUUUUAACUUACCUUCAAAAUGCUGAAAGCCCAAAGCUAGUAGGGGCUAGCUUUGGGCUUUCAGCAUUCCGCCGAAUGCUGAAAUUAUUUACUAAACAUAAUUGCAUUUAGCUUUGGGCUUCGGAAUGCUGAAAUAUUUACUAAACAUAAUUGCAUUUCCCCAAGUAGCUUUGGGCUUUCAGCAUUUGCAUUGGACUCAAAGUUCCUUGCAAAUGCUGAAUCAAACGCAGCCGAUGUAUCACUUAUUAGGGCGAUUUGGCCGCUCUUGGAUAGGCGGAGGUAUUUCAUCCAGCGAAGGCAGCAGCUAUUAUCGCAACAAGGCAUGUUCAUUGAGAUGGUGAAGGGACAGAACAUGCCAAAUAGAAAGAGUUAGACACGUGAAAUGACUCAUGGAUAAUUAACCACUUGAUCAGAUGGAAAGUUACUGGGGGAUAGAAUUUGACUUGGAGUGAAACUUAGUUACUUUUUCGCCAAUAAAAAAAAUUUGAGGUAAAAAUGCCACUGGAUCAAAAUCGGUGUUUUUUUUAAGGAAAUUGGGCUGUCUAUUGAUCGACUUCCCUGCAUUGGUGUCAAUUAGCAUAUAUGCUUAGCUACGUUUUAUCUUCUCGAUUGCUAGAUUGUGAAUAAAGAAGGGCGGUCUCCAUUAUUUUCAGGGUAAAAUUGUCAAAAAAGUCCUAAAUCUAUUAUAUUUUUAUCAAUUCAAUAUUAAAUAUAUUAAUUAUGCUAAUUGAAUCUUAAACCUUUUCAAGUUUGUCAAUUGCGUUCAUUUGACUAAUUUUGACCAAAAAUUCCUAACGUGAACUCUAGUCAUCAUGCGUAGCAUGACGUGGAAAAAUUUAAACAAUAUUUUCUUCUUCUUUUUUCAAAUUUUUGUAUUUUUAUUUUAUUUUAUUUUUCCUUUUUUUCUUCUCUUUUCUCUCUUUACUUUUGCUUUUUUUCUUCUUUUUUUUCCCUCCUCUCUUCUCUUCUUUUUUGCUUUUCUUUUUCUUUUUUUCUUUUUCCCUUUUUCCCUCUGCCAGCCAUUGUUGGGCCUCAUUGAUGAUCGAAGGUCACUAGCCUCAAGUGAAGACUACCCUUGCAAGAGGGAGGCCCACUCUACUGGAUCGGGUGAGGAUUGCCCUCAUCUCAGUGGGGCAAGGCAACUCUUGCCCUUGUUGACACCUGAUUUUUAGUUGACGCGUUAAGAAUGACAAAAAAUCAAGAUUUUGGUUUCUAAUUACAACAAAGCCCCUUUUUUGACAAAAAAAAAUGUCAUUUUUCAUUUAUUUCUUUUAUAUUGUUGUUUUAAAGUAAUUUCCAAGUCAAUCGACUGAUUUUCUAGUUGGCUUUUGGUCAAUCCUUAAACAAUAGUCAAGCCCAGAUCAAAAAUUCACUUUUUACCUAAAAAGAUGCCAUUAAGCUUUAAUUUCACUUUUUUUCAAAUUAAUUUCUCAAAAAAAAAAAAAAAAACCUUAGAGAUUUGACAAAGAAAUUAGCCUUUUAGGAAAAGUCAACUAAAAAUAUUGACCUUUGGUCAAAUCUUUGAUAAAAAAAAUUGGAAAAAUUGAAAAUCCCAAAAAUAUUUCUUUCAAUGUCAUUUUGACUUUUGCGUAAAAAAUUUCACAAAAAUUGAUUAAGAACCUUGUUUUUCGAAUUUUUCAUUUUUAGGUUCUAAAUCGGCCAAAAAUCAAAUUACUUUCAUUAUAGUCAUAAUUAGGUGUAAUUCCUUCUUUGAUAUUUGGUUUAGAGGCUAUUUUAAAUCCACUCAUGUAUUCAAAAUACAAAUUACCGUUUUGAGCCCUAAUUAGAGGACCAAAAUUAAUCUUCAUGACUUGUGAAUGGACAAUUAUUUUCCAUUCAUUUUCUUGAGAUAAGUCCAAAUCCAAAAUCAAUUUUGAGAAAGUCACAUUAGAACUUCUUGAUUUGAGGAAUUUUAGUCUCUCAAGCAUAAGAAAGUCAAGUAAUUAAACUUCAAUUGACAAAAUUUGAAUUGACCUAUUCAAUGUUAUAAUUUAAUUUCAUAAAUCUGAGUCCAAUUUUAAUAGUAGACCUAGAUUUAUUUUUGACCUAAGCUCAGGCACAUCACUUCAAGGCCAAUUAAAAUGCAUUAAGUGACCUUACAUAUGGAUGAUUAAUUAAAUGGGGGUAAUUGUGGUAUUAAUUAAACUAAGUUUCAAUCAAUUUACAAUUUUACUCAUUGAAUUGCAAAUUCGAUCAUUUUAGUCCUUUAAGCUCAAUUCAAAGCACUCAUCAUUGUGAUCCGUUGCUUUUCAUAGCAGUCAUUCAAUUAAGUCAAUAAAAGAUCCCUAGAUCACAUUUGUGAAGUUUAAUUGGCUUAAUUGAAUCAUAAUUGGGUAAAUUUCUUUCAAAUCAUGUAAGUUUUCUUUUCAAUUUGAUCUUUGAGGAACCAAAUUGCAUAAAUCUUGAAACCACAAAGGCCCCAAGCGAAUGAAUUAACCAGAACUGGACAAAAAGAAUUGGCCAAACCGAAGCCAAUCGGUCUGACUUGCCAUCGACGGGGCUAGCUGGUUCAGCUGUUUGCCAACAAUUUUGAAACUUUAGUGAUUGAUUCUAGAAUCCUCUUUGUGUCAAUUUUGUUUCUACACUCUCAAUUUCCCAAGAUUUUGAAAAAUAAUACUUGGAUUUCGCAAAUUUACAUUUUGACCCUUAACUAGACAUUUUGACGCAAUUCUCGAUUUCAACUCGGGUUUUUGUGAAUCAAACCCAUUAAAUCGAUUACCCGACACCUCAAGAUCAUAAUUGAACCUUCGGAAUUAACUUUUGACCAUUGGAUUAAUAUUUCAACUAUCGGAUCGAACCAAUAGCUCAUAUCACUUGAUUUGAGGAGGGUAUAUAUACCAAUUUUCCCUUCAAUUUUUGAGGGGCUCACUCUGCACACUUCCUUUUCUCUCCUUAGAUCUCUCUCUCUCUCUCUCUCGGUCCAAUCGGUUCUCCCUCUAGCGAACCAAUCACUGUCGGUCCAGCCCUUUACCGACGGUACUCCACCUACACCAGCGACCCUCUCUAUCCUCUGGUUCCUGUCGGACCCACACCAGCUAUCGCUGACCACCAAAUGUCCCCGCUUGAGUCGUUUUUCUGAUUAGUCUCCUAAAUCAAUAGGGCUAGCAACGUCGGUAUAACUAGCUUUGAUUAGAAUCGCCCAGCAUCCUUUUGGCGUUCGAUUUGAUCUAUUUUCAUCCUUCAACAAUCUCCGACCUCGCUGCGGUCGGGGACUGGUCGAUCAAGCUGUCAGAAGAUCUCCGGACUCCUCUUCUUCAACCGGCGAGAAGACCGGUCCAAUUUUUGGAUCGAAUUUGUUCCCGACCAAAAGCGGCAGCUGUCGUUGAUUUCUAGAGUUGCUGAUCAGUUCUGAUUAGCCUUAAGGAGGUGUUCUGACUUCACCGAGCUCGGAAAAAGACCAAUCAGCCGCCGGAUCUCUUCUAACAACCCAAUCUAGCCUUGGCGGUCCCAAACCCGUCUGAAUCUAGACAAGCCAAUCUAGCCUUGGCGGUCUCAAACCCGUUUGAAUCUAGACAAGCCAAUCUAGCCUUGGCGGUCCCAAACCUGUUUGAAUAUAGACAAGUUCCUGUGGUUGCUAUAAAUCGACUCUUAGCCGAUGCUUGUGGAGUCUCGAAGCAUUCCGAUCAUGUUCUCGAGCCUCCAAUUGAACUUUGGUGAAGAUUCAUUAGUUCAAUCAAAUCAACAAAAUCACAUCAGAGGUAAUCUCCUCAAUCUCGAACCCUGUGCAACGAGACCGGAUUAACCGAUUGAGGCUAAGGUUCAAUUUUAGGACUGAAUGUCAUGCUUAGAUACUUAAUUGAUGGAUGUUGAUUUGCUACGAUUGAUUGUUCAUUGAUGAUAAAUAUGGAUUGAACUUGAUUUGGCUUCAAAUCUGUGAUUCUCGUACUACAGAACAUGGCUUGCUGUUUUGAUUGAAUGGAAGUCCAAAAUAACCUUAUUUUAGUUCGAUUCCUCCUAGAUUUUGAAAAUUCACGUCAUGAUUUUCGAAUUGAUAGGUCGUAUAUCCCAAUUGAGCGACGUUUGAGUCUCAAAAAACACCUCCGAAGUUAUUCGACCCUCCAGUGUGCGAAUGUUGCUAGUCUACAAUACCUACAAGAUCAGGAACUUUCAAAGAGAAAAGUUUUCAUCCUCCCAUUAGUGAGCAAGUAUCAUUGUUUGCAGACCAAGUUCUCACAGCAAAAGCAAAACCAAGAUCCGAAAAAUAGUUUUAAUUUGCUCAAUCGUUCUCACUCUUAUAUAAGGAUAGUAAUAAGCAACAAUGACAGGUCUGCAUGAAUUCAUAUCUUCUCAAACGAUGAAAGAAGUAAACAUGGAUUCACAACAUUGCCAAGGCAAUGCCAGCCUGCUGAAACUGGCUAUAGAAAAUCUACCACCAACCCCCACACAGGGAAAACCAGCAGGAUGAGUAUUCCGAUGGUGUUCGAAAUACCAUGCGGCUGUGUAAAUGAGUUUCUAAAGCCACCGGAUGCUCGGAUGUGCUCUUGUAGAAGAUAACACGCAAUAACAAGACAUAUCGCCACUCCAACCCAGCUGUCUCUAAUGGUGCUAGCGAACAAGCUUGGAGCCACCACCAUCAAUAGGAUCAGAGCAGCUGGCAUUUCCAGCCAAUCUGCAGCCAAAAGAUAUGACAGUGAACAGGGAUUAUGAAAGUGAAUAGCAUAUGAAUUGGAUAAUCAAAGAUCUGGUGUGAACAGAAAAAUAAAGAUGAGCACUGUUAUGAAGCACGUCUGUAAUUUCCACAGAUUACUCUCUCAUCAACCUAAAAGUUAAUUCUACAAGAUAGACUAUAUAUGGCCAGCCAGAAUAUCUGGUUUCAGUAUUUCCACGGAUAUUACAAUAUGAAAAGUUGUCUUAAGGAAAUGAAAGAAUAUUGACUGAAUUGAGUGAGAAAAGAAGAUGCACGUUGCCUUGUUUCAACUGACAUAGGAUGCAGAGUGUAUUUAAGGGCUUAGAUAAGCAAAUUGCUGGCCGAAUUAGCAAAAGCACAGGUAAACACUUCAACAAAUAUGCUUAAAAUGAAAAAUGUAACUCGUGCAAGAAAAGAACAAUACCUGGGAAAUGCCGAGGAAAAAACAGCCGCAGCACAACAGCAAUGAAGGCAAUCCACUUUCCUACUUCUCCCCUGAACAAGACAGGAAAUAAAAAAGUUACUUAGGGAGGAAAUUCGGACAGAAGAAAUGGUUUUGUAGAAUUUCAUAGCCACCUGAAUUCGUUGAACAGUACUGAAGGGAGACUAAAGAAUAUGUAUGGGAUCAACAACCCCGUGAGAAUCUUCGUUCUCCAAUUUGUUCGAUCAAGGACCAACAAAUAACUGCACCAACAAAAACCGAAAGGCCACUUCCGUUAGCUUCCGAAAUUGCCAUAUCAGUUUCAAGUACAAAACUGGUGCUCACUGUAUCUACUCUCAUUUCCUACUUCAAUUUUGGGUUAUGACCCAAAUUCCUAUCUAUCGAAAACUCAGCGUGCUGCUUCUGCCAGGUGGAAGGGCUGAAGUUAUGAUGCCCUGGUAGACACAAGGAAGUUCUCCCAUAUUCAUAUACACGAAAUUUCAUGUGGGAUUUAAUACCUCUAUCGAAUUCACAAAUGGUCUUGCAAAGAUUAAGCGAAAAAUGCAGCAAGCUCAGCAUUGAGGACAGCUGAAACCAAUUAACAGAAGAAAAGAAACAAAGAAAAAAAAAGUCCAAUAUCCACUUGUGCAGAGCAAUUCAAAAAGCUCAGAGAAUAAACCAAUCCUCAGGAUAACAUCCGACACGCUUCAACUUCAGAAAUCAGCCUGGCGACUUUGACACCGAAUGACUAAACUCAAAAUGAUAAUUAACCGAAAGAGGGCAUAAACAGAGCACAAUUUAGUAUCCCAAGGCCCGCACACCGACCUCAUCGGUUGCAAAAGAACAACUGAAAAAGGGUCAUCAUGCACCGCACGCAACAAGAACAAAUCACAGGUAUCGAGCAAGAACAUGCCAAAUUAACAUAAAAACUCCACAGCAUCACGAACACUUCCGAUCAUCGACGAGAAACAGAGAGCACAACGAGAGA